This 460-nucleotide ribosomal RNA is filed under the name uncultured bacterium. RNAcentral's name for it is "partial 16S ribosomal RNA". It matches the Rfam family "Bacterial small subunit ribosomal RNA", at positions 338 to 795 of the family's 1533-position model. The record is from RNAcentral.
CCUACGGGAGGCAGCAGUGAGGAAUAUUGGUCAAUGGACGCAAGUCUGAACCAGCCACGCCGCGUGCAGGAAGACGGCUCUAUGAGUUGUAAACUGCUUUUGUACGAGGGUAAACGCAGAUACGCGUAUCUGUCUGAAAGUAUCGUACGAAUAAGGAUCGGCUAACUCCGUGCCAGCAGCCGCGGUAAUACGGAUGAUUCAAGCGUUAUCCGGAUUUAUUGGGUGUAAAGGGUGCGUAGGCGGUCGGGUAAGUUAGAGGUGAAAGCCCGAGGCUCAACUUCGGAAUUGCCUUUGAUACUGGUCGGCUAGAGAGUAGGUGCGGUAGGCGGAAUGUAUGGUGUAGCGGUGAAAUGCUUAGAGAUCAGACAGAACACCGAUUGCGAAGGCAGCUUACCAAGCUACUACUGACGUUGAGGCACGAAAGCGUGGGGAGCAAACAGGAUUAGAUACCCGUGUAGUC